Drosophila yakuba is the source of this 5024-nucleotide long non-coding RNA. RefSeq lists it as uncharacterized. The transcript is spliced from 6 exons. The record is from RefSeq and is a predicted model, not a curated record. Lineage: Eukaryota; Metazoa; Arthropoda; Insecta; Diptera; Drosophilidae.
AGAGCGCGAGCAGCGGUGCUUGCGAGCCGUGGAGGAGCUUUGAGUACAAGCAUUGGCCGCUUACACUGCCGCUCAACUGUUUGCGCCCUUCUGGCGUGAACAUUGUCCUCCCCCUUGCGUAGGCAAAGGUAUCCCUGGCCGGCUAGACAGCAGGAUCGGCCUCUUCAUUCCGUGCACGCUCCAGAAACGGUCCAUCCGAACACCAAGGAAACCGAGGUCGGCUAAUUGACCGAUGCCUCAAUCCUCCGCAGCCUUGCGAACAUGGGUCAAUUGACAGACCUGGACACAUCGAACGAGAAGGGAUCCGAUACAACCGUGGUGGAGAGUCCCACAGCAGAUGUCCGGGAAGCUUCUGCAGAUAAACCUCCACCACAGUAAGGCAGAUUCCGCUGCUCUUCAACUCCAUCUGGCUGAAGAUGGAGUCACCAUAGUCCUAAUCCAGGAACCUUGAACAGUGGGAGGAAAGGUUUCAGGCUUAGGGACUAAGGAAUAUAAGCUUCUAACAGCUCCCAGCGAAGCGAUGCAGAUAACACGGCAGUCACCGUGGAGAGUCAGCCAUCUCCGUUACGAGUGCUGUCAUCGUACAUGACCUAUGAAAGGCAAGAACCGGUGGAUGAGCUGGUAAGAAGACUGGUGCAAGACAGCGUAAAGCAGAACAUAGGCCUCUUAUGUUCGCUGCGACGCAAACGCCCAUCACACAAAAUGGGAAAGUACAAACACAAACGACCGCGUCUGUAAAGUCGUGGGAUGGUUCAAAGGCGGCAUCAAGAUAAUCGCCUGUGACGAUGAACGCUCUGCGGAGCUAUACAAAGCCGCAUUAAAAGAGUUGGGGGAGGUGUAUGAGGGCGCCGGACUUGUUGCGCUGAGCUGGUCCGACGUACCUUGCCGACCCCGGGCAAGCAUCUGGAUCCCGGCAUCCAUCAAGGCGCCGGACCAGAUCCUUACCAUGCUGCAGCGCUGCAACCCGCACCUUCCCACCUCGGACUGGCGAGUGGUGAAGGUCGACGAAUUGGAGGGACCAACAAACCAGGCCAUCCUUAUUCUAAACAACGAGUCCCUAGCUCCCAUUGAGGCCGCUCACGGGGAGCUAAACUUCGGGUUUAGCUCAGUGACCGUAAAGGUCUGCAAAUCAGACUCCGCCAAGGAGGAUUAGGAAGGCAGUGGAGGAGUGAUCGAGGAGAUCGCCUCCGAGAUCGAGGCAUCGGAAACCGAGGUCGGCUACUCGACCGAUGCCUCAAUCCUCCGCAGCCUUGCGAACAUGGGUCAAUUGACAGACCUGGACACAUCGAACGAGAAGGGAGCCGAUACAACCGUGGUGGAGAGGCCCACAGCAGAUGUCCGGGAGGCUUCUGCAGAUAAACCUCCACCACAGUAAGGCAGAUUCCGCUGCUCUUCAACUCCAUCUGGCUGAAGAUGGAGUCACCAUAGUCCUAAUCCAGGAACCUUGAACAGUGGGAGGAAAGGUUUCAGGCUUAGGGACUAAGGAAUAUAAGCUUCUAACAGCUCCCAGCGAAGCGAUGCAGAUAACACGGCAGUCACCGUGGAGAGUCAGCCAUCUCCGUUACGAGUGCUGUCAUCGUACAUGACCUAUGAAAGGCAAGAACCGGUGGAUGAGCUGGUAAGAAGACUGGUGCAAGACAGCGAAAAGCAGAACAUAGGCCUCUUAUGUUCGCUGCGACGCAAACGCCCAUCACACAAAAUGGGAAAGUACAAACACAAACGACCGCGAUCAGGCCUUCGCGCCGUUUACGUGCGAUCCACAGAUAAGAACUUUUGGCAGCUUGCGGUUCCUGUCGGCAGCGCCUAUGCCUAAAUGCACAUAGGUAUGCAUAUGUGUGUAGCCGCAGCGCCUGUACUUAUGCCUGCACGUGUGUAUAUGCGUGUACACCGCGUGUCUUGGAGGUACGUGGGCGUGCUAUAGUGCUAGCCGACAAUACCUUUAUUCUGCCUGGAAACUACACUAUGCACUCCGUAAAAAUCAGCAAUCAAAGAGCUGCGAUUUCCAUGCUCUUUACGCACUUCUGUACGCCCUCGAAACUUGGUUCCACUGUCUUAUUCUUAGCCGUGUUCGUAUAAGUUUUUUUAUAACUUUUAAUACACUUAGUUGGCCACUUGAUAAUUUUAAGACUGCACGUGGGUUUUUUUCUCACUUUUAUUGUCUGUUCUUUUCACAAGUUACGUCUGUCGUCUCGGAGUAGAAAAUCAGAAUGAUCGCGUGUUCGCUGUACCUUUUGUCAAAGGCGCGAGCCUAGCGAGCUUUAACGGGACCUUUCCAGGCUAUGAGAGCGACGACUAAGGUGCGAAAGGGACAACUAGAACUAACAGCUUCUGUCUUUGAGAGUUGUUGUGAGCUUUCAAUUAACCCUAGUAUGCCGAAAAGUGGUCUCGUCUAGAUUUGUACCGAUGAUAAUAAUUUUGGUUUAAUUUUUUUUCUCUGCCUAUUUUCUGGUACACUGGCCGCUACAAGUCCCCAACUUCUGCAACCGAAAACUCGCGUAAAUGGUUCAGAAUAGGGGUAUGACUUUGAGUUCACUUUUGUGUUUCAUCCUUUUAAAAUCGUAGGUCCUUUGUGUUGUCAUUAGAAUUUUUUAUUUUUGUAAUUACUUAAAUCAAAAAUAUGGGAGAUUUAUUUGUUAUAACAUCAAACAACUAGGUGCCGAUUGACGUUUUUUUGUAAUUAACGUAAAUUUAUUUUGUGGGUGGCUCACGCUUUCAACGUAUUAGGCCAAGUAGGCAGGUCGCUUAAAAGGCUCCAGUCUUUAAGGCUUUCCAUGACUAAUUUUGGGCGAGGGACGACUUUAGUUUCUUUGGGUCACGCUGCCGACGUACUAGGCCAAGUAGCCAGGUCGUUUGUAAGGAUCGUGGCUAGGGAAAUAUAAAAACUGUUGUGGAUUCCGAACGUAUAGGUCAAGCUACCGCGGGUGGUGGAUUCCGAACGUAUCGGUUAAAUAGCAGCAAGUUGUAGAGUCCGCAAUUAUAAUUCAAACAGCACUUUUUUCCGACUAUUGGCGGAAGGGGUUUUCGGACAUACACUUUCUUAGGUGGACCAGUUCACAUAUGGAACCAUCGUAAAAUCCCCCCAGGAAAAGGUGGGCCAGUUCACAUAUGGAACCUCGUAAAAGCUCACCAGGAAUAAAAAAGAGGGCCAUUUCACGUACGGAACCACGUAAAAUCUCCCCAGGAAAAGGUGGGCCAGUUUACGUACGGAACCUAGUAAAAGUUCCCUAAGCAGUGGAAGACGGAAGCAUUUUGGCGGGAUGUAAACAAGAAGAAAGCCGUGCAAAGCGAAAUGCAAGUACGGGAGACACGCCCCGACUAUGUGAGGCACUUAAUCAAGAGAGUCUUGAAAAUUUCGAAAACCAGCCGAAGGAGAUGGGCAAAACAAUGGAUGAAGCAGCCGGAGGGAUGGAUUUACUACUAGGACCUCCUAGGGGUCGCUCCAGCAUGCUUCCUCGUUACCUGGCAAGUUCGGAAGACCGGUCGGAUGCUGCCGAUGGGCGGGAAAAAGAACUGAUGGAUUUAGUGAGACAAAGUGGAGAUACGCAAUUGGAAAUGGGUGCUCAAAUGAACGCUCUAAAGAAGAAAGUGGCUAACGCGUCGAGAUCUCAUCGCUCCGUAUUAAAGUUGGGUGUACCAUUUCACCCUUUUUUCCGCGUCAUUGGUUACAUUUAGAUUUUUUCUGUAUUUUCCUUUCACACUGUUCUCGUUGUGGGUUUAGUUGUCUUUAUCACUCUGAUUUUCCUUUGCAAUCACUGGUUCAAAACACUUUAGUUUUUUUUUAAUUGACAUGAGUCAAUUUCGCACCACAUUAUAUUGUUUUGUUUACACUAUCUUCGUUAAUUUCGUCAAUUUAUUACUGUAUGGAAGAGUUUGGAGACUCUGAACCUGGAGAAAGAGAGUUGGGUGACUCUGAACCUGGAGAAAGAGAGUGUGGAGAGUCUGAACCUGUAGAGAGAGAGUUUAGAGAGACAGAAGGUUUGAAGGAGAUAUCCGGAGAUUGGAGACUAGAAGGAUAAACCGUUAAAGGAGGCCUAUAUAAGCCGGCUGAACGCUGGAAGCUGGAGAAGUCAAGGAGAACGAGUACACAAGUCAACAACGCGAAGAAACGAAGUCAGCAGCGUUGCUAGAGCUGUCAGACAGGAACAAAAUCGCUACGACAAGACGUUCGGGAGCAUUCCACAGCCGGGGCCGAACCAAGAAGGGUACCGAACAGGCGACAGAAAUUGUGGUGUAGACCCGGUCAACUCUGUCGGAGACCGCGUACUUGAACCCGGCGAUAGCCUGCUGUGUCCGUGCGAUCCGAGCAGACGUGGUACCGUCGCCAACAGUCCGAGCUUAUUUUAGCUUAUUGCUGUUCCACCAGGCGUUUGUCUUGGGGCUGCCGUGAGUUCGCGUACGACGACAAUUCUCAGCCCAAGUGACGGGCACCCAACGACACGGUCCGCACCACUCAGGACGACGAGAGCGGCGAGAUAGCAGAGCGAGGCCGCUGAGCAGACCAUCCAGCAGUCUGCAAGUGUCGUUACUGGUAAGCGGGUGAUCACGUUUUAACAUAUAUAUUGUAGGACGAACAAACAAAAUAUACUGAGCUAGCCGCACGUAUUCCGUAGCGAGCAGACUUAUAAUCUCAGUUCCUUACAAAAUGACAAAAUGCUCUGAGUUAUGUUAUGCUAAAAAAUGUCGAACUUUCCAAUGGAAAUGUUAGAUUGCACCUGGCAACACUAAAUGUUGGUCAGAAAUAUAUAUAGCAGCCCUCGUACGGCCAAUGUGGCCAAUAAUGUUAAGUUAGUCGACCAUACAGAAGAUAUUCAGACACUGUGGUUUUAACAAUAAUAACAGUCGCUCAGUUUAUAUUACCACUAUAUUUUAAGCAUAAUAAAAUUAUUAAGAAGCGUUAUAUAAGCAGAGCGAAUAACUUGGAUAAAACCUAAAAACAUAUGAAAAUAAAUUUAUUUUUGUUAAAGAACAAAUAAAAGAUAUAUUAGAUAUCAUGAAUUAAUAAUGAAAAAACAACAAUAAAAAAA